UUGGGAGCUCUCCCAUAUGGUCGACCUGCAGGCGGCCGCGAAUUCACUAGUGAUUAGAGUUUGAUCAUGGCUCAGAACGAACGCUGGCGGCAUGCCUAAUACAUGCAAGUCGAACGAGACCUUCGGGUCUAGUGGCGCACGGGUGCGUAACGCGUGGGAAUCUGCCCUUGGGUUCGGAAUAACUUCGGGAAACUGAAGCUAAUACCGGAUGAUGACGAAAGUCCAAAGAUUUAUCGCCCAGGGAUGAGCCCGCGUAGGAUUAGCUAGUUGGUGGGGUAAAGGCUCACCAAGGCAACGAUCCUUAGCUGGUCUGAGAGGAUGAUCAGCCACACUGGGACUGAGACACGGCCCAGACUCCUACGGGAGGCAGCAGUAGGGAAUAUUGGACAAUGGGCGAAAGCCUGAUCCAGCAAUGCCGCGUGAGUGAUGAAGGCCUUAGGGUUGUAAAGCUCUUUUACCCGAGAUGAUAAUGACAGUAUCGGGAGAAUAAGCCCCGGCUAACUCCGUGCCAGCAGCCGCGGUAAUACGAAUCGAAUUCCCGCGGCCGCCAUGGCGGCCGGGAGCA
This 565-nucleotide ribosomal RNA is filed under the name uncultured Alphaproteobacteria bacterium. Its description in RNAcentral is "bacterial SSU rRNA". It matches the Rfam family "Bacterial small subunit ribosomal RNA", at positions 1 to 562 of the family's 1533-position model. Lineage: Bacteria; Pseudomonadati; Pseudomonadota; Alphaproteobacteria. The record is from RNAcentral.